Molecule: ribosomal RNA, 444 nt
Filed under: uncultured bacterium
Lineage: Bacteria
Description: partial 16S ribosomal RNA
Rfam family: Bacterial small subunit ribosomal RNA
Source: RNAcentral
GUAGGGAAUAUUGGGCAAUGGUCGGAAGACUGACCCAGCCAUGCCGCGUGCAGGAAGACGGCCCUCUGGGUUGUAAACUGCUUUUAUCUGGGAAGAAAAAGGCCAUGCGUGGCAAAUUGCCGGUACCAGAUGAAUAAGCACCGGCUAACUCCGUUCCAGCAGCCGCGGUAAUACGGAGGGUGCGAGCGUUGUCCGGAUUUAUUGGGUUUAAAGUGUGCGUAGGCGGCUGAUUAAGUCAGCGGUGAAAGACUUCGGCUUAACCGGAGCAGUGCCGUUGAUACUGGUUGGCUUGAGUGUCGGAGGGGUACAUGGAAUUGUUGGUGUAGCGGUGAAAUGCAUAGAUACCAUCAGGAACACCUAUAGCGAAAGCAUUGUACUCGCCGACAACUGACGCUGAUGCACGAAAGUGUGGGGAUCGAACAGGAUUAGAAACCCCAGUAGUCC